RNAcentral lists this transfer RNA (71 nucleotides) under Candidatus Tagabacteria bacterium CG10_big_fil_rev_8_21_14_0_10_40_13. Its description in RNAcentral is "tRNA-Gln". It matches the Rfam family "tRNA". From Rfam's summary of the family: Transfer RNA (tRNA) molecules are approximately 80 nucleotides in length. Their secondary structure includes four short double-helical elements and three loops (D, anti-codon, and T loops). Further hydrogen bonds mediate the characteristic L-shaped molecular structure. tRNAs have two regions of fundamental functional importance: the anti-codon, which is responsible for specific mRNA codon recognition, and the 3' end, to which the tRNAs corresponding amino acid is attached (by aminoacyl-tRNA synthetases). tRNAs cope with the degeneracy of the genetic code in two manners: having more than one tRNA (with a specific anti-codon) for a particular amino acid; and 'wobble' base-pairing, i.e. permitting non-standard base-pairing at the 3rd anti-codon position. Lineage: Bacteria; Candidatus Tagaibacteriota. The record is from RNAcentral.
UCGGGGGUCGUCUAGCGGUAGGACACAUCCCUUUGGAGGAUGGUACCGGGGUUCGAAUCCCUGCCCCCGAG